This 342-nucleotide ribosomal RNA is filed under the name Diadocidia stanfordensis. Its description in RNAcentral is "partial 16S ribosomal RNA". Lineage: Eukaryota; Metazoa; Arthropoda; Insecta; Diptera; Diadocidiidae. The record is from RNAcentral.
UUUUUUAAUUGAAAACUUGUAUGAAGGGUUGAACGAGAUAUUAGCUGUUUCAUAAAAAUUUUAUUAGAACUUUACUUUUUAGUUAAAAGGCUAAAAUUUAUUUAAAAGACGAGAAGACCCUAUAGAGUUUAAUAAUUUAUUAAUUUUAAAAAAUAUAGAAAAUUUAAAAUUAAAUUUAAUUAAUUAUUUUGUUGGGGUGACAAUAAAAUUUAAAAACCUUUUAUUAUUAUUAAACAUUAAUUAAUGAAUUUAUUGAUCCAAUUAUAUUGAUUAAAAAUUUAAAUUACCUUAGGGAUAACAGCGUAAUUUUUUUUUAGAGUUCUUAUCAAUAAAAAUUUUUGC